GGUUAAGUGACUAAGCGUACACGGUGGAUGCCUAGGCAAUCAGAGGCGAAGAAGGACGUGCUAAUCUGCGAAAAGCUUGGAUGAGUUGAUAAGAAGCGUUUAAUCCAAGAUGUCCGAAUGGGGAAACCCGAUGGAUGAAGAAUCCAUCAUUUCAUUAUGAAUCCAUAGUAAUGAAAGGCAAACCGGGAGAACUGAAACAUCUAAGUACCCCGAGGAAAAGAAAUCAACCGAGAUUUUGUAAGUAGCGGCGAGCG
RNAcentral lists this ribosomal RNA (254 nucleotides) under Glaesserella parasuis. Its description in RNAcentral is "partial 23S ribosomal RNA". It matches the Rfam family "Bacterial large subunit ribosomal RNA", at positions 1 to 255 of the family's 2925-position model. Lineage: Bacteria; Pseudomonadati; Pseudomonadota; Gammaproteobacteria; Pasteurellales; Pasteurellaceae. The record is from RNAcentral.